RNAcentral lists this ribosomal RNA (492 nucleotides) under uncultured bacterium. RNAcentral's name for it is "partial 16S ribosomal RNA". It matches the Rfam family "Bacterial small subunit ribosomal RNA", at positions 29 to 507 of the family's 1533-position model. The record is from RNAcentral.
AGUGAACGCUGGCGGUAGGCUUAACACAUGCAAGUCGAACGGCAGCACAGUAAGAGCUUGCUGUUCCGGGUGCCAAGUGGCGGACGGGUGGUGAAUACACCGGAAUUUACUUUUUCGUGAGGGAUAACGAAGGGAAACUUAAGCUAAUACCGCAAACGACCUACGGGUGAAGUCAGGGGAUCUUCGGAGCUUGCGCGAUAGCAUGAGCCGAUGUCGGAUUUGCUUGUUGGCGUGGUAAAGGCCUACCAAGGCGACGAUCCGAAGCUGGUCUGGGAGGAUGAUCAGCCGCACAGGAACGGAGACACGGUCGAGACUCCUACAGGAGGCAGCAGUGUGGGAUAUUGGACAAUGGGCGCAAUCCUGAACCAGCCAGACCGCGGGUGUGGAGAAGCCGUGCGGGUGGUAAAGCCCUUUUGUUGGUAAAGAAAAGCAGCAGGUGAAGACCCCGCUGUUCUGACGGUACCCAAAGAAUAAGCACCGGCUAACUUCGUG